RNAcentral lists this ribosomal RNA (433 nucleotides) under uncultured bacterium. RNAcentral describes it as "partial 16S ribosomal RNA". It matches the Rfam family "Bacterial small subunit ribosomal RNA", at positions 29 to 507 of the family's 1533-position model. The record is from RNAcentral.
AACGAACGCUGGCGGCAUGCCUAACACAUGCAAGUCGAACGAGACCUUCGGGUCUAGUGGCGCACGGGUGCGUAACGCGGGGGAACCUGCCCUUAGGUUCGGAAUAACUCCCCGAAAGGGGUGCUAAUACCGGAUAAUGUCUUCGGACCAAAGGUUUAUCGCCUUUGGAUGGGCCCGCGUUGGAUUAGCUAGUUGGUAGGGUAAAAGCCUACCACGGCGACGAUCCAUAGCUGGUGUGAGAGGAUGAUCAGCCACACUGGGACGGAGACACGGCCCAGACUCCUACGGGAGGCAGCAGUGGGGAAUAGUGGACAGUGGGCGAAAGCCUGAUCCAGCAAUGCCGCGUGAGUGAUGAAGGCCUUAGGGUUGUAAAGCUCUUUUACCCGGGAUGAUAAUGACAGUACCGAGAGAAUAAGCUCCGGCUAACUCCGUG